Molecule: long non-coding RNA, 746 nt
Filed under: Spirodela polyrhiza (greater duckweed)
Lineage: Eukaryota; Viridiplantae; Streptophyta; Magnoliopsida; Alismatales; Araceae
Description: long non-coding RNA (SPOL_LNC000591)
Source: RNAcentral
UCGAUCAGUCAGGCGGCUUCAUCCCCUUCCGCGGGGACGCCUCUCCUCUUCCCCCGGGCGUGGCCGAAUACCAGCCUGUAGAGGGUGUCCGCCUGCUCGGUCUUCCCCUCUGCAAUCAGGGACUUUAUCAGGGCCUGACAGCCCUUCUGGUUCGUCGCGCCCCCCUUCUUCUUUAUCUGGCACAGCAGCGUGUACGCCCUCAUCGUCUUCCCCUCCUCAGACAGCGCGUCCAACACACGGUCGUAGGUCGAGAAGUUGAUCUCGCAGUCGGCCUCCAGCCCGAAUUCCGCCAGCUUCAGCGCCGCGAUCGUCUUGCCCUUGUCGCAGAGGGCCAGCAAGAGGCGGUCCACGUCGGGCGCGCACUCGUUCACCCUGAGCAGGUUGAUGCGGCCGAGGGCCUCUUCGACGUGACCCCUCAUGAGGAGCGCCUCCAGGAUCCUGUGAGCCACGUCCAGGUUCUCCCGCACGCCCUUCUCUAUCAUGCUCCUCAUCAGCCGGCUCGCUGUCUGGACCCGGCCGUCCUCGAACAGCGCCUCCAUCACCGACCUGAACAGCGAGGGACUCGGCAGGUGACCUUGCUCGAUCAUGCUGUCCAGGGUCGCCUUCGCCACGGCCGGGUCUCCCUUCCUCAGGAAACUCUCCGCCAGCAUCGCGUACGCGUCGCUCUCCGUGGCGACUCCCCGACGGUUGACGAUGGCGAGUAUGUCGGCGGCGGACUCCGGAGUGUCCUCCCUCGCGUGCCCGCG